CCACCCUAGUUUAGUGAUUCAGAUUAGCUCCGCUGAAGGUAAGAGCGCUAGUCUUGGUUGACACCAGGAGAGAGAACUGAAUUUAGUUCCCUCUUUCUGAUAGUGAGCAUUUCACAAGCAGCACAGAUUUGUGGUAGGUCCUUCUUGUUUAUUUUGUGUGUGUGCCCAUAUCUGCUUUGGGAGCCUGUGGUAAUCUUGCUACAAUCUGAAGUCCCAAAAUACCACAAGAAGGGGUGUCUUACGCUGUCUCCAGUCUAGCCAAUGACAAAUAAUUCCUAGGAAUACCACAAGGAAGUUGAUUUAUGGUUUGAUUUCUCAAACAAAGAGCUCUGGACAAAGUUCAGAUAAGCAAGUAAUCUUAUGGAUGCUUAUCUGGAAUAAAUUGGUGUAUCUCUGGGGCUUCAUUCAAGACAAAAACGACCACAAGACAGAAAGCAGAGAAAAUGAAAAAUGUAUCUCAUAAGAAAGUACUGAAAGGGUUUAGAAACUGGCAUGUUUCUCUUCAGGUCACUAGCACAUUUCAAAGACCUAAUUAAUUUUAGUGUGUUUAAUUGUUGUCUGUUCCCCUCCCUCUGGUUUUUAAUUUCCCUUUUAUACAGCUUAUGAGCCAGAAGGUUUUCAAGACUGCAAGGUUAACCCUGGGUGCAUGGAAUGUAUAAACCAACUUUUCAGCAGUAGGAUUUAUACGAGGGGGAGAAUGCAGGAUUUGCCAGGUGCAGACAGAUGUAGAUGAUGCCUGCAGAGCUUUAAUACCCUGAUGAUGGUAAUUGUAAACCUGAGAAUUCAGACAGUGAGAAGGGGCAAAGCACGGCACCAAUCUAAGCCUUGCAGCAUUCCUGAGUUGCAGGACCUAAGGCUUAAUAUCUUACUAGAAAAAACAGGAAAAAUUAAUCCUGGUUUUGCAAGAAGGUAUUGGAAAAGAGUUUCUCAGAAAUUACCAUAUUUGUUCAAGAAUUUAAAAAGGUCUAUGCAGUGUGCUGUACAGGGAGUGAAGAGUGGUCUGAACUAAAAUUCUUGGAAGAGAGCAAGCAGCCCAUGCAUCUCGCAAAGAGCAAGAAAUGAUGAAUGAGGCAGACACAGGAGCAGAUGAAGAUGUUAUGUUCAUAUCAGUCAUAUGUGAAGUGAUUUACUUCUAUUUUUGCUUUCAGCUUUGACUGGCACCGCAAAUUUUAAGGAUGUUCCACAACAGUGGACGGACAGAGUGCAGUGUUUGUUUUCUCUGGUUGACAAAAGUCUAAUAAUAGUAGUAACCUCAGGGUCAGAGGGAGUUAUCAAAUCUGAUCAUGAUAACUGCUUAAAGUAAAAGACCUAAGCAAUAGUGUACCAGAGCAGGAAAGAAAGGCAGAAUUAGAAAAUCACACUGUGGCCUCCUAUUUCUGCAUCAUAUAUUCAUGUGAAUCUGAUGCCAUGUAGCACACUCAGCAAGGUAGUGAGAGGCUGUAUCUGAAAUUUUCUAUCUCACCUGGGAGACUGACUUGGUGGUAGGAAGACCAGGCAGGGACAAGGAAAUUUGGUUUUCUGGUCCCUCCUUUGUUGGAAACAUCUGUGACUUCUGGAAACUCCAAUGUAUUUCAACUCAUUCCUACCUCUCCUGCCCAUGAAUGACUUGCUGUAUGUCCCUCACCCAUAUGGAUAUGUUUGAGAAUUAAUGUUAUUAAAGAUUAGAAAGGAUUAGGUUGAUAUUGCAGCUGUACAGAUCUCACAAAACAGGCAGGGCUUUGGAUUAUGGGAAUUCUCAAUGUUCCUUCCAGCUUUUCAUCCACAUGAUUUCAACAUUUGCAAUACUCAUAUUACAUGGUGAUUAAAAUCUGAUAGUAGGUAUUUGAUAGUAUACCUUUAACAUGUAGAGACAUAAAAUGCUAUCUUUUGGGUUCUGUGGGAGAUGUGACUGGAUUUAACUUACUUUUCCAGAUGAAAUAGUAAGUUCAUUUCUUCCAUUUCUUUUGUCUUUCACAACUUGGAUUUGAGGGUGUUUCCUGGGGCACAAAUAACAUAACGACUGAAGUGAGAGGUUCUGGGAUUCUCUUUGUACCUAUUAUAAAAUACAUAGCAAUAGAUGGAAUUUCAGUCACUAUAAGAUAAAAAUAACAGAAGCCUGAAGUCAGGUCUUGAAAAUUACUUACAACAUUUUCAGAUCAAUGUUAUGUUUUGUGAUUGCAUAUUUAUUUAAGUUUUUGAUAACAUCAUCUGAAAGCGUUAUGGCUUGAUAAAAGAGUGGAAUAAAGAUAUAGAGAAUUUCA
RNAcentral lists this long non-coding RNA (2240 nucleotides) under Cyanistes caeruleus (blue tit). RNAcentral's name for it is "lncRNA (ENSCCEG00000002872.1)". Lineage: Eukaryota; Metazoa; Chordata; Aves; Passeriformes; Paridae. The record is from RNAcentral.